Molecule: small nuclear RNA, 101 nt
Filed under: Peromyscus maniculatus bairdii (prairie deer mouse)
Lineage: Eukaryota; Metazoa; Chordata; Mammalia; Rodentia; Cricetidae
Source: RNAcentral
GUGCUUGCUUAAGCAGCACAUAUACUAAAAUUGGAACAAUACAGAGAAGAUUAGCAUGGCACCUGAGCAAGGAUGACGGUCUUGAAGUGUUCCAUAUUGAA